RNAcentral lists this microRNA precursor (249 nucleotides) under Paramuricea clavata. The record is from RNAcentral. Lineage: Eukaryota; Metazoa; Cnidaria; Anthozoa; Malacalcyonacea; Plexauridae.
GACGUCGAUAGUCGACGUCAUAAACAGUAUCAAGUUUGGUGUUUAUGACGUCGAUAUACGACGUCAUGAACACCAUCAAGUUUGGUGUUUAUGGCGUCGAUAUACGACGUCAUAAACACGAUCCAGUUUAGUUUUUAUGGCGUCAAUAUACGACGUCAUAAACACCAUCAAGUUUGGUGUUUAUGACGUCGAUAUACGACGUCAUAAACACCAUCAAGUUUGGUGUUUAUGACAUUGAUAUUCGACGUC